AUAGCAACAGCAGCGUAGCUGAACAUCUUACGGAUGGCCCAGGGCUCCAAAGGCUCGUUUCCUAAGUGAGAGAGAGCCUGGCUGAAGCUGUAUUACCAUUCAUUCUCCAGCCUCCGAAGUCUCAAAGCAUCACUUCCACCAUACUCUAACUGUCAAGACAAACACAAAGGCCCAGAGAAGGGGUCUCACUAUGUUGUCUGGAGUGCUGUGGUGGAGUGGAGUGGCUAUUCACAGCUGAGUUUGCAGAGUAAACCACUACCCUGAAAUCUGGAAAGGCAGGUGCACCCACAGAUCCUCAGCUGAGAUCCAAUUACCUGAAAUAGAAGCUGCCAUUAGGAACACUUAAAAGAGCCUGUUCUGCUGGGACACAGAAUCACUUGCUCCAUCUCAUACAUUGAUGAUGAUUAAUUUGUAUGUGUACCUUCCAAAAAAGAUGGUUGUGUUUGAAUGGAGGCCUUCUGGACAGGAAAAUAUGGAGAGUGCGUGCUUUGGAUUCAAGACUGGGAAUGAGGGGACCAGAAACCUAUUCUGUGGCUGUUUCUUGUUAGGACUUUCCUAAGCCUCUGGAAAAGUGCAAAGUACAAUUAACAUUUGAGUCUGUCUGAGUCAUGAAGAAAUGGAGAUUACUGAAAAUAAUUCAUUUUGGUAUCUUCUUACAUCCUGAGAGACUAAUCUUUCCAAGUUCAUCUGAGGCUCCUCUUCUCCAUGACAACCUCAUCCAGGGAUUUCUUCCUGUCCUGGUGUUUUAUGACAUAAUCACAUCCUUCCUGAGAUAAUGAGCACACAAUUGCCUGGAUACCUGAAGGAAUGGAGACAGCGGCAGAAAACACUGCAGAGAGGUGGAAACAUCCGUUAAUAUUUUAAAAUCCCAUUACUGCUACCAACAAUAAUAAUGGAUGCAUAGAAAUAGAUCUGGAUUAGCUGAGCUUGAAACAGUCCAUCUCACACACACACAAAAGAAUUUCAGAUACAGUGAACCCACAUGUUGAAGCUUUCUAGUAUAAUAAAAAUUUCAACUGUUCUGUUGAAUCAUCUGCCUGAUUGGAGGCUACAGAAAAGAUGUCAUCUUAGGAGUGCUUGCUCUGAGUGAGGCUCAUCUUCAAAUCUGAAUGACCACAAGGAGAUUUGAUUAUACAUGUGAACACCUCAGAAGGCACAGCCCACCCAGAAGGCAGACAGGUCAGGCUGCUUUUUCUUCAUUGCUUGGAUUCAAUCCUCCGGGCGGCUCAGGCUCAAACAUAACUUAAGCAUGAUUAAACUUUAGAAGAAGCUGCCAGGAAGACUGUGAAAUCUUCAUGCCCAAGGAUCCCUAAAAUUAGGAGCAACAACCACUUGGCUCAGACGGUUUAUGGAGGCAAAGGUUUGGAUGGGAUUAGAGAUUUCUAAAUGUGAGUUCGUGUCCUCUGCCAGACCACCUUACUUCCACCAUUCCUCAGCAAAUCAAGAAAAACAGGAGAAAAGACAUGCCUUUCCAUAAGUUAAAUCUAUUCUGUUUUAAUUCUAUAUUAUAUCUGCUGUACAACUUCUUUUGUUUGUAACACCAUAUUGUUGCUAGUAACUGGAAAUUAAUUUUCACAUGCCUCAGCUUAGAAAAAUAAAAAGCAGCCCUGCAUCAAUCCCAAU
Homo sapiens (human) is the source of this 1623-nucleotide long non-coding RNA. Ensembl annotates it as long intergenic non-protein coding RNA 635. The record is from Ensembl. NCBI's taxonomy places the organism in Eukaryota, Metazoa, Chordata, Mammalia, Primates, Hominidae.